GGGCGCAUGCGCAUUUGUUGGCUUGCGGGUUCCGACAGAGUCCUUUAUUUUUCGGUGGAGCUGCUCUGUUUUCUUAAGUCUCUACUUGAUUGGAUAAGAUGGAAUUAAGAAGGAGGACCUGACCAUUGGCCCCUGAUUACAUGUCUUUGACAUCAAAAGUUUUUCUGGGCUUCCCUGCUGGCGC
Long non-coding RNA from Balaenoptera musculus (blue whale), 184 nucleotides. RefSeq lists it as uncharacterized. The record is from RefSeq and is a predicted model, not a curated record. NCBI's taxonomy places the organism in Eukaryota, Metazoa, Chordata, Mammalia, Artiodactyla, Balaenopteridae. The transcript is spliced from 3 exons.